This 1176-nucleotide long non-coding RNA is filed under the name Fukomys damarensis (Damara mole-rat). RNAcentral's name for it is "lncRNA (ENSFDAG00000027014.1)". Lineage: Eukaryota; Metazoa; Chordata; Mammalia; Rodentia; Bathyergidae. The record is from RNAcentral.
GCGCCCCGCCAGCCCCGCCCCUCUCCAACAUUCCGUCCCCCGCCUCGCGUGCGUGGGGAUCUACGUGGCUGUCACUUCUGGAGCCGCGCUGGGGACCUGGGAAGAUAACUGAGGCACGAGUCGGAGGGCUGGAGCUUCGGCCGACAGGGCUAGGCGCAGUCCUCCCUUUAGCUCCGAACGCGCCCGCCCCCUGCGCUGGCCGUGGUCCCAGCUGUUACCUCUGCAGAGCCUUUUCCUGCAGUGUGGUUCUUCCUCUCAGCCUCCCUCCGCGGCUUUCCCUGCGCAGAGGACCUGAGGAGGCUGUUGGGUCGUUGCCAAGCCGACCAGAGACCUGACUCCCUCUUAAACCGCGGUCGGACCGACCAGCGGACGUCCUCCGUAGGCAGAGGGUGGCCCUGGGAGGGAGGGGCAGAAGGGUGUAAAAUGCGGACUAACUUCCCCACCAAAGUGGAUAUUCAAAAUGAAAGGAUGCCCAGAGUGAUUGCCCAUCAGAUAUCUGCCCCCUGUGAAGCCUGCCAGUCUCCCAGAAUGCACCUGGAGGGGGUAUUCUGGACCUGAUCAGCAGGAAUGAGAGAAGAAUCAGCCUUUUGAACAUAGCUUAGAACAACCUCUCCGUUGGCUGAUUUAAUUCCCUUUCCCAGGAAGGUUCCACUCCAGGUACAUCGAAAGCACAGUUGAAGCAGUUUGAGGGAGGAGUGGAGAUGGGGAAAAUUGGGAGGGGAGAGUCUUGGGCAACUCUGUGAUUCUUUAUACUCUGGGAAUGUGUAGCUUGAGUAAAAAUAGAAACAAAAUAAUGACAUAAAGCAGCCACUACAUGUGGAAGGAAGGGGCAAGGAGAGCAAAAAGGAUGAAUGUAUGGGCUGGACACAGUGGCAUUGGGUGCUAGAGUUUUGGGGACCCUGAGCUAGAAGUUUCUCUUGUAUUUACUCAUUCGCCGCUCUUUCAACUCUCCAGCAACCCCAACAGAUACUAGAUGAGGAAACUGAGUUUUCAAGAUGUUAGCUAGUAAGUCGUGGAGCUAACUUUCAAAGCCAGGCUUAUUUGACUCCAGAGCUCAUACUGUUUGAGUUCAAGGGGUGUUCUGCUACUGAGCUACAUGCUCAGCUCUUUUUAUGUUUUAUUUUGAGACAGGAUCUCACUAAGUUGCCAAUGCUGGGCUCAAGCUUGCAAUCCUCC